CCUACGGGUGGCAGCAGUGAGGAAUAUUGGUCAAUGGACGGAAGUCUGAACCAGCCAUGUCGCGUGCAGGAAGACGGCUCUAUGAGUUGUAAACUGCUUUUGUACAAGGGUAAACCUGAAUACGUGUAUUCAGCUGAAAGUACUGUACGAAUAAGGAUCGGCUAACUCCGUGCCAGCAGCCGCGGUAAUACGGAGGAUCCAAGCGUUAUCCGGAUUUAUUGGGUUUAAAGGGUGCGUAGGCGGAUUGAUAAGUUAGAGGUGAAAUGUUCGAGCUUAACUCGGGAACUGCCUCUAAUACUGUUGAUCUAGAGAGUAGAUGCGGUAGGCGGAAUGUAUGGUGUAGCGGUGAAAUGCUUAGAGAUCAUACAGAACACCGAUUGCGAAGGCAGCCUGCUGGGCUUUUACUGACGCUGAGGCUCGAAAGUGUGGGGAGCAAACAGGAUUAGAUACCCCGGUAGUC
RNAcentral lists this ribosomal RNA (460 nucleotides) under uncultured bacterium. RNAcentral describes it as "partial 16S ribosomal RNA". It matches the Rfam family "Bacterial small subunit ribosomal RNA", at positions 338 to 795 of the family's 1533-position model. The record is from RNAcentral.